ACACAGACACACACGCACACACACACAUGCACACAUUUUCUCGCGCUCUCUCCGGCUCUCCUUUGUUUAUUUUCUAAUCUAUAUUUUUACUGGAAGAUUUCCUCUUUAUUCUCUCCCGCCCUCCUACAAGCGCUCUUGCUGGCCGUCUGGGUGCACACACCGCUCCCUCGAUCACCCCAGCCCCCUUCCUGGUCUCCCGAGCGCGGGGUUUGAAGGUCACCUCCUUUCCAGUCCCCGUGCGAGCCGCGCUGCCGCCGCCUCCUCCAGCCAGAGUCGGUGGGACUGGCUGCGCUGCCCUGAAGUGGUUCUCCAAGCAGCGCGGAGGGUGGCGGACGGCGGACGGAGCCCAGGGGCCGCGUCGGGUGGGGAAACCCGAACUCGCGGAGGGGAAUCCCUCCCCCUCCGCCCCAGCCCCCCAGCAGCACCCGCGGUGGGGCGGGGGCGCUCUGCCAGCCCCGGGAACAGCAGAGGCGGCGGCACUGGCUGGACCCACGCGCGCGCCUCCGGGGCUGAAGAAGGAAGGAGUGAGCCGAGCCGAGCACCCCACAUCUGGAGGGGACAGCCAGCCGUGGGCCCCGCCCCGGCGUCCGGAGCAGGAGAACUCCGAGCUUCUUGCCCAGGCAGAGAGAGCAGGAGCGGACCGCGCGCCCGGGAUUGAGAGUCCUUGCGCUCCAGACCCCCACCCAGUGGCCGCCAGGGUCCCCGCCUGUCCGGACCCUCGCCGCGCCCAGGCAGGCGCGCCAGGGCGGGGCUGACCUGCCCGCGAAGUUGCGGACAGUGCGUGAGAAACCAGCACCCCCUUCCGCCGCCUCCAGCUUAUGGAAACUGGUCAAAGAACUCAUGCAAGUGGAACUUACAGCUUCCUUGAUCGGACUCAGCAUUCAGAAUUAAAAAGCAUCCCUCAAAUUGACAAGAAAAUUGGAUAAUAAAUUAACCAUUUACAGUUUGGUAAAUAUAUGCACAACUGAAGUUCCACGUCAUGGGCCAUAUUUUUAUCAGACGCAACACCAGAUGAAGGAUAAACCAUAUGACCCACCCUCUUCUGCCAUGAAUGAACAAUGGACUGAAGUCUUUCAUAAUUGCUUGUUUCAAGAUGCUCACUAAAUCAGACAAGGAACUCCUGUCUUGUGUCUUUAAGGGAGGUUGAACAAUAGGCUGGGACACUGGAGUAAAUGGGGCACUCUGCCAUACUUACACUUUCCUUUGAAAUUUGUGUUUGGGAGGCUUUAACUAUGAGUAUAUUUUGCAGCCAAAUGCAGUUAGCUUUUUGACUAAUGGAGCUGGUGUGAAUUUUACCCCUCCAUCUGUAGAUGCUGAAAUGUCACAUUAUUUCAUUUUUCUAAAACAAAUUAAAUGACUCUGAGCAUCCAGUCAUUAGGGUUUUAAGAAACUCAAUCACAACUAUGAGUAUAGGGAAUGGGGAUGAACAGUAUCCCUUUCCCAUAUGCUAGAUAGACAGUCACCUGUGGAGCUUAGCAGUGCUUCGGAUACAGGGAAGGACAGCUGGUCUUUGAGAUAUUGUGGGCAUUUGGGUGUUAGGAUUCUUAUUACUUAAACCUGCCCAGUCCCUAUAAAAAGGGACCGCUUUGCAAAUUCUGAUCCAUGCAUGGAACAGGAAAUCUUUCUUAAUAUUUAGCUGCUUCAUGCAUUCAAAUCCUUGAAGACCCCCCACAUGCCCUGCACCCUUCUCAGUUCCCUUUCAAUCUUGGGGUAUCUCCCCUUUCUGAGAAUUCACUGCUGUUGCUGACCUCCUCCCACUCAUUUCCUUCCAUCUUCUCUUACUUUCUUAAUACCCCACAUUAUCUCUGCUGACUGUGUCUUUAGACACACAACACUUUUCUUUAAGGAAAGGCAAGGCUGUGUGUUCCUUACCUCAUCAUGUUAUGUUAGAGGUCCAAAUGUUUUAUGGGUGACCAAUUAAUUCAUCAUGUCAUCUGGAUGACUGUUGAAAGCAAAAGCGGGAUCAUUGUAAGAACUGUGUCAGGAAACCAGCAAAACCAGCCCUGUCCCAGGCAAACUGGGAAUUAUGAUCUCUCUCUGGAAGGAAAGAAGAAGAAAAGUGGGAGAGGUAGGCUGUUCUUUUUCCAACAAGAAUCUUGGAAGGCGUUUUCAUUUUGGAAACUGUUUAGAAGACUAUACUAAAUUGUUACUCCUUAUUACCAACAUGCAUAGCAUCCUGCAAUGCAGACAUCCAUGACUGUGCAUCUCCACUGCUUCAAACAGGGCACUAGUGUUCCAAGCUUUGUGUUUCUAUUGCCAGCCCUGAAUGCAAAAAUAUGGGAUCCUGAGUUCAAAUCGGGCUCAGAAGUUGACAUAUUGUUUGACCUUGAGCAAUCUGCUUAAUUUCAUAGUGUUUGUUUGCUCAUCUGAAAACAAAAGGGAUAAUGCUGAUCGAGGCAUAUUGUGGAGAUUAAUUAGUUUCUGAAGUGCUGAGAUCCACAGAUGAAAGGCUUUAAGUGGAAAUUAUUUUGUUUUUAAAGGAAUAAUCGAUGCAUGUGAAUAAAAGAGAACUAACUGAACUGAAUUACAGGCACUUGGCUGCUGGUGGGAGUGGGGGAAGAAAGAAUAUUGCUUCUUGCAAAGAACCUUAAAUUUACCCCCCAGAAUAGCAGUGGGAAAAUUGCUUUUUUUUUGUGAUUCUGAAAGGAUGAGAAAUUAUGCAAAAGAAACGAGCUAGAAUAAGAGGAGAAUAUAUGCAGUUAAGACAUAUUUCAAAGUAACUUUCCUGGAUAAACAACUAGGUAUCUAAUAUAUAUAUUAUGUGUAUUAGAUAUAUAUAUGAUAUAUAUGAUAUAUUAAUGUAUUAGAUAAUGUGUGUGUGUGUAAGUAUGUAUAUACUCCACCAGUCCUCUGUGAUUAGGUUCUUAGCCAAAUGCUUGUCUACCAAAACAGCUCAGCCACGAUCCCCAAGGAGCCUUAAUGACCCCUAAGUCCUUGGUGAAAAGAUCAGUUUGGGAAGGAGAAACUAACUGUUUAAAAAUCUCACAGCUGUGUAUCGUGGUGAGAAAACUAGCACUAUUAAGCGUGUUACUGUUUAAAACCACUUUUGCUCUUGUUACAUUUGGUCUUCUCUCCAAUAAAUAUUAUUAUUGCCCUUGAUGUACAGAUAGGAAAAUGAUAAUCAGGGAAAUUAAAUGGCUGGCCAAUGGCCAUUUGUUUGGUUAGGUGGUAUAGGCAAUAUUCUGACCUCAACAUUAUGACUCACAAGACUCUGACCAUGUCACUGUCACCGAAGGGUUUGCUAAAGAUAUGGUGACAUUCAGCUGGCAUGUGGAAAUGAAUUAUUGUCUAAGGACUACAGAAGAAUUGGAAUGAAGACAGGAUUUUUUUUGUCAAAGAAAAUAAAAAGUUCUGACCAUUAAACGAAUGCGUUUUUGUCAUAGACGUGGUGGAAAAUGCCAACAAAGUCAGAUUUCAAAAUUGGCUCAAAGUCUCCUGAGUCAAAUGAAAACUCUGUCAAAGCCAUGUUAUACUUCUUCUUAGUCUUUUAUCCAUGCAUUUUAAUAAUAUAGUUAUGGUCAUGUUAUCCCAAAUUCUUUUCAAAUGUUGUUUUAAUGGCUCUGUAACUUUCUACCUUGUGACUAUUGCAUGGUUGUUUUGACCUUUUUCUCAUUUUUUGUAGAUAUUUAAGUUCUUACUUUUUUUUUACUUUUAUAAUUAGCUCUGUAAUGAGCUUUUUGUGUGAAAAAACAUAUAAUUAUAUACAGAGUUAUUACCUUACUACAGAUUCAUAACAUUUGGAUUAUUGCAUCUUGGGAAAUAAAUAUUGUAGUGUUCCUUGUGUAUAUAUCAAGUUUAUAUCAAUACCAUCUAUAUACUUAUAUAUCAGAUUUUAUAAAUUAAAUGUGCAAUUUAUUGUGUAC
RNAcentral lists this long non-coding RNA (3863 nucleotides) under Homo sapiens (human). RNAcentral describes it as "HSALNT0384348". Lineage: Eukaryota; Metazoa; Chordata; Mammalia; Primates; Hominidae. The record is from RNAcentral.